RNAcentral lists this ribosomal RNA (502 nucleotides) under uncultured bacterium. RNAcentral's name for it is "partial 16S ribosomal RNA". It matches the Rfam family "Bacterial small subunit ribosomal RNA", at positions 335 to 859 of the family's 1533-position model. The record is from RNAcentral.
UUCCUUNGGGNGGCAGCAAUAGGGAAUUUUUNGCAAUGGGNGACAACCUGAAGCAGNCCNCCGGGUGGGGGAANAAGGUCUUUGGGUUNUNAAAUUUUUNUCGAGGGAAGAAAUGACGGUACUCGAGGAGGAAGCCCCGGCUAACUACGUGCCAGCAACCGGGGUAAAUCGUAGGGGGCGAGCGUUNUUUGGAAUUAAUGGGGGUAAAGGGCGGGUAGGGGGCAUGUUAAGUCCUGUGUGAAAACCCCCGGGUUAACCCUGGGCACCCCUUUGAAACUGGUGGGUUUGAGGUUCGGAGAGGGAAGGGGAAUUCCCGGUGUAGGGGUGAAAUGUGUAGAUAUCGGGAGGAACCCCCGUGGGGAAGGGGGCUUUCUGGCCCGUCCCUGACGCUGAGGCGNGAAAGCCGGGGUAGCAAACAGGAUUAGAUACCNCGGUAGUCCCACCCGUAAACGAUGGAUNCUAGGUGUGGGAGGUAUCGACCCCUUCUGCCGAAGNUAACGCC